Molecule: non-coding RNA, 847 nt
Filed under: Anemina arcaeformis
Lineage: Eukaryota; Metazoa; Mollusca; Bivalvia; Unionida; Unionidae
Source: RNAcentral
AGAAUAUUUCAUUGAUGUAAAAAGUUAGUUUUACCAAUUAAACUACAUAUGGCAGCCCAUACGUUUUGUGAGAUGAAUUAUUUUUAGUUAACUUUAAAAAUUAACAUUAAAAAUAGCUCAAUGAAGUUAACCUUUUAACUUUUAAACCAAUCACAACACCAAUGUACUAUAUUAUACUAGCUAGGAAACUAGGCCAUAGAAAAUAAGUAAAAGGGGUGACUAAAGAUGGUGCCAGCAGUCGCGGUUACACCAAUACCCCAAGCUAAUUUUAACAAAUCGGAGUAGUUUUCUUCUGCGGAUUACAAAAUUAACCUUUAGCGUAAAAAACAAAUUUCAACUAAACCCUACCUAAUCCUAAUUAGCUACUCCAACAAACCAUAACCUCAGAACUCGGAUUAGAUACCCGACUACUGUAUGGCCCAACUUAUAAAAGAAUACUACGAGCGAAAGCUUAAACCUCAAACAAUGUGGCGGUGCUUUAUUCCUCAUCAGGGGAUCCUGUGACUUAAUUCGAUAAUCCACGAAAAUCUUAGCUAUUUUAGACAUACAGCUUGUGUAUGGCCGUUUAUGCUUGCUCUCAAAAGAUUAAAAAGGAAGCAAUAGGGCUAAUUACCCAAUAAUUCAGGUGACAUACAGCCAAUAUAUAGCAGGUACAUGGGAUACAAAUAAUCAUCCUAUCAGAUUUAAAGCUUUAAAUUUUAAUAAAGGAGGACUUGAAAGUAAGAUUUACGUUUCCAAAAAAUAAAUCUGAAUAAGAACUAAAGCGCGCACAAAUCGCCCGUCACUCCGACAAUAAAGUAGGAUAAGUCGUAACACAGUAGGGGUAAUGGAAAUUGUCCCUAUCAUA